UGGUUUAUUGCGUUAACUGCUCAUAUGUGUUCGUAUUUGAGAGAUUUCAAUUUCUAUAUGCUCAGGAGAAAAUAUAGUUUAUUUGGAUAUUUUCAUAUGGAUUUAUGGAAUGUUAGAUGAUUUUAUAAUCGAUUUACGGAUUUAAUUGCGUAUAUUUAUAUUUAUUUAUUAAUUAUUUGACUUCCGUAAAACCGUCCACUCGUAACGGGGUAGCAAAUUUUCUUCCCGGAAGUUUCAACAAAACUCACCUUUAGCCUAAUUUGAAUAUUCCGGACAUUUUUCGUGUUUUGACUUUUUCGAUCCGGAGUACGGUUUUCCCCGGAGUCGGUCCGGCGGAGUUUUUCGGGUAUUUUAAUUGUUGAUAAUUAUCCAGUUUGUCUCG
Molecule: long non-coding RNA, 382 nt
Filed under: Daucus carota (carrot)
Lineage: Eukaryota; Viridiplantae; Streptophyta; Magnoliopsida; Apiales; Apiaceae
Description: long non-coding RNA (DCAR_LNC000926)
Source: RNAcentral